RNAcentral lists this ribosomal RNA (1954 nucleotides) under human gut metagenome. Its description in RNAcentral is "bacterial LSU rRNA". It matches the Rfam family "Bacterial large subunit ribosomal RNA", at positions 408 to 2474 of the family's 2925-position model. The record is from RNAcentral.
UUGAGUAAGGCGGAGCACGAGAAAUUCUGUCUGAAAAUGGGGAGACCACUCUCCAAGGCUAAGUACUACUGAUUGACCGAUAGUGAACAAGUACCGUGAGGGAAAGGUGAAAAGCACCCCUAUAAGGGGAGUGAAAGAGAACCUGAAACCGGAUGCCUACAAGCAGUCGGAGGGUCAUAAGGCCUGACGGCGUACCUUUUGUAUAAUGGGUCAGCGACUUAAUUUAUGUAGCAAGCUUAAGCCGAUAGGUGUAGGCGUAGAGAAAUCGAGUGUUAACAGCGCGUUAAGUUACAUGAAUUAGACCCGAAACCGAGUGAUCUAGCCAUGAUCAGGUUGAAGGUUGGGUAACACCAACUGGAGGACCGAACCCACUCCCGUUGAAAAGGUAGGGGAUGAAUUGUGGCUAGGGGUGAAAGGCCAAUCAAACUCGGAAAUAGCUGGUUCUCCGCGAAAACUAUUUAGGUAGUGCGGUGAGCGGACACCUUGAGGGGUAGAGCACUGGAAGAGCUAAGGGGGAGCGAUCCUUACUAAACUUUACCAAACUCCGAAUACUCAAGAGUGAUACUCACCAGACAGACAUUAGGUGCUAAGGUCUAGUGUCGAGAGGGAAAGAGCCCAGACCGCCAAUUAAGGUCCCAAAAUUAUGGCUAAGUGGUAAAGGAAGUGAAACGUCCAAAACAGUCAGGAGGUUGGCUUAGAAGCAGCCAUCCUUUAAAGAAAGCGUAAUAGCUCACUGAUCUAAACAAGACGUCUUGCGCCGAAGAUGUAACGGGGCUAAAGCCAUAUACCGAAGUUGCGGAUUUACACGUUAAAGUGUAAGUGGUAGCGGAGCGUUCUGUAAGCCUGCGAAGGUGUACCGUAAGGUAUGCUGGAGGUAUCAGAAGUGAGAAUGCUGACAUGAGUAGCGAAAAGAAGAGUGAGAGACUCUUCCGCUGAAAGUCCAAGGUUUCCUGCGUAAAGCUAAUCUGCGCAGGGUUAGUCGGUCCCUAAGGCGAGGCAGAGAUGCGUAGUCGAUGGCAAUCAGGUUAAUAUUCCUGAACCGGCCCGGAAGUGACGGAUUGAGUAAAUUGUAAGUUCUUAUUGGAUUGAGCUUGCAGUGAAUCAGUCCCAGGAAAUAGCCCGGGCUAAGACCGUACCCGAAACCGACACAGGUGGACAGGUAGAGAAUACCAAAGCGCUUGAGAGAACUAUGUUGAAGGAACUAGGCAAAAUACUUGCGUAACUUCGGGAUAAGCAAGCCCCAUUUUAAGGCAACUUAGGGUGGGGGGCACAUACUAGGGGGUAGCGACUGUUUACUAAAAACACAGGGCUCUGCUAAAUUGAAAGAUGAAGUAUAGGGUCUGACGCCUGCCCGGUGCUGGAAGGUUAAGGAGAGAUGUGCAAGCAUUGAACUGAAGCCCCAGUAAACGGCGGCCGUAACUAUAACGGUCCUAAGGUAGCGAAAUUCCUUGUCGGGUAAGUUCCGACCUGCACGAAUGGCGUAACGACUUCCCCGCUGUCUCCAACAUAGGCUCAGCGAAAUUGAACUCUGAGUUAAGAUGCUCAGUACCCGCGGUUAGACGGAGAGACCCCGUGAACCUUUACUAUAGCUUUGCAGUGGUAUUAGGUAACAAAUGUGUAGAAUAGGUGGGAUGCUAUGAAGCUACGACGCCAGUUGUAGUGGAGCAGACUUUGAAAUACCACCCUUUUGUUGUUUGAUAUCUAACCUGCUCCCGUUAUCCGGGAGAGGGACCCUGCAUGGUGGGUAGUUUGACUGGGGCGGUCGCCUCCCAAAGAGUAACGGAGGCGCGCAAAGGUUGGCUCAGAUUGGUCAGAAAUCAAUCGUCGAGUGCAAUGGCAUAAGCCAGCCUGACUGCGAGAGAGACAUUUCGAGCAGAUACGAAAGUAGGUCAUAGUGAUCCGGUGGUCCCGAGUGGAAGGGCCAUCGCUCAACGGAUAAAAGGUACUCCGGGGA